Molecule: ribosomal RNA, 401 nt
Filed under: Pristimantis chiastonotus (Brownberg robber frog)
Lineage: Eukaryota; Metazoa; Chordata; Amphibia; Anura; Strabomantidae
Description: partial large subunit ribosomal RNA
Rfam family: Bacterial large subunit ribosomal RNA
Source: RNAcentral
UUGCUCCCCCAUAAGAGGUCCAGCCUGCCCAGUGACUUAGUUCAACGGCCGCGGUACCCUAACCGUGCGAAGGUAGCGUAAUCACUUGUCUUCCAAAUAGAGACUAGUAUGAAAGGCAUCACGAGAAUUUAACUGUCUCCUUUUUCCAAUCAGUGAAACUAAUCUUCCCGUGAAGAAGCGGGAAUCCAAAAAUAAGACGAGAAGACCCUAUGGAGCUUUAAACACUAACCACCUGCCCGACCCUAUAAAACCCCGGUUCCUAAACCAACGCACCAUGACUACGUGUUUUUGAUUGGGGCGACCACGGAAAAUAAUCAAACCUCCGUAAUGAAAACCUACAAGCCACAGCUUUAAGUAUCAACAAAUUGACAUCCAUUGACCCAAUAUAUUGACUAAUGAAC